CCGCACACUACUGAAUCCUCAGA
This 23-nucleotide microRNA is filed under the name Sarcophilus harrisii (Tasmanian devil). RNAcentral describes it as "Sha-Mir-7336_3p* (star (passenger))". RNAcentral also lists the same sequence under 2 other names. The record is from RNAcentral. Lineage: Eukaryota; Metazoa; Chordata; Mammalia; Dasyuromorphia; Dasyuridae.